This 465-nucleotide ribosomal RNA is filed under the name Vreelandella stevensii. RNAcentral describes it as "partial 16S ribosomal RNA". It matches the Rfam family "Bacterial small subunit ribosomal RNA", at positions 338 to 795 of the family's 1533-position model. Lineage: Bacteria; Pseudomonadati; Pseudomonadota; Gammaproteobacteria; Oceanospirillales; Halomonadaceae. The record is from RNAcentral.
CCUACGGGAGGCAGCAGUGGGGAAUAUUGGACAAUGGGGGCAACCCUGAUCCAGCCAUGCCGCGUGUGUGAAGAAGGCCCUCGGGUUGUAAAGCACUUUCAGUGAGGAAGAACGCCUGGUGGUUAAUACCCAUCAGGAAAGACAUCACUCACAGAAGAAGCACCGGCUAACUCCGUGCCAGCAGCCGCGGUAAUACGGAGGGUGCGAGCGUUAAUCGGAAUUACUGGGCGUAAAGCGCGCGUAGGUGGCUUGAUAAGCCGGUUGUGAAAGCCCCGGGCUCAACCUGGGAACGGCAUCCGGAACUGUCAUGCUAGAGUGCAGGAGAGGAAGGUAGAAUUCCCGGUGUAGCGGUGAAAUGCGUAGAGAUCGGGAGGAAUACCAGUGGCGAAGGCGGCCUUCUGGACUGACACUGACACUGAGGUGCGAAAGCGUGGGUAGCAAACAGGAUUAGAUACCCCGGUAGUC